Molecule: long non-coding RNA, 304 nt
Organism: Strigops habroptila (Kakapo)
Lineage: Eukaryota; Metazoa; Chordata; Aves; Psittaciformes; Psittacidae
Exons: 2
Source: RefSeq, a predicted model, not a curated record
CCAGCCCUUGAGUCAUGCGGUGGUGGCAAGCCCCAGGAGAGCAACCAGAGCCACACGGAAGGAUGUAUCCUCUGUGCAAGUUUCUCACAGCAUUUUUCUGUGGCAUCAUAUCUCAUGUUGGACAGUAAAACACUGUGCUGGAGAGGACACCAGUCAAUGCGCCAUGGACACUCUUGAAGGAAUAACAUCAAGGCUCAGAGCUAGACGGGCAUGGAUAUUCCUCUCUGCUUGGAAAGGGAAGAGAUGCCGCCCUCUUGGAACAAAUUACAGUUCCUGUAAUUUAAAACACAGCCCUGAGUACAAA